This 387-nucleotide ribosomal RNA is filed under the name uncultured bacterium. Its description in RNAcentral is "bacterial SSU rRNA". It matches the Rfam family "Archaeal small subunit ribosomal RNA", at positions 339 to 726 of the family's 1478-position model. The record is from RNAcentral.
GCGCGAAAACUUUACAAUGCUGGCAACAGCGAUAAGGGAACCUCGAGUGCCAGGUUACAAAUCUGGCUGUCGAGAUGCCUAAAAAGCAUUUCAUAGCAAGGGCCGGGCAAGACCGGUGCCAGCCGCCGCGGUAACACCGGCGGCUCGAGUGGUAACCGUUAUUAUUGGGUCUAAAGGGUCUGUAGCCGGCCGGAUAAGUCUCUUGAGAAAUCUGGCAGCUUAACUGUCAGGCUUUCAGGAGAUACUGUCUGGCUCGAGGCCGGGAGAGGUGAGAGGUACUUCAGGGGUAGGGGUGAAAUCUUGUAAUCCUUGAAGGACCACCAGUGGCGAAGGCGUCUCACCAGAACGGACCUGACGGCAAGGGAUGAAAGCUAGGGGCACGAACCG